RNAcentral lists this ribosomal RNA (461 nucleotides) under uncultured bacterium. Its description in RNAcentral is "partial 16S ribosomal RNA". It matches the Rfam family "Bacterial small subunit ribosomal RNA", at positions 338 to 795 of the family's 1533-position model. The record is from RNAcentral.
CCUACGGGUGGCAGCAGUGAGGAAUAUUGGUCAAUGGGCGGGAGCCUGAACCAGCCAAGUCGCGUGAGGGAAGACGGUCCUACGGAUUGUAAACCUCUUUUGCCGGGGAGCAACGGGGUCCUUGCGAGGGCCCGAUGAGAGUACCCGGAGAAAAAGCAUCGGCUAACUCCGUGCCAGCAGCCGCGGUAAUACGGAGGAUGCGAGCGUUAUCCGGAUUUAUUGGGUUUAAAGGGAGCGUAGGUGGAUUGUUAAGUCAGUUGUGAAAGUUUGCGGCUCAACCGUAAAAUUGCAGUUGAAACUGGCAGUCUUGAGUACAGUAGAGGUGGGCGGAAUUCGUGGUGUAGCGGUGAAAUGCUUAGAUAUCACGAAGAACUCCGAUUGCGAAGGCAGUUCACUGGACUGCAACUGACACUGAGGCUCGAAAGUGUGGGUAUCAAACAGGAUUAGAUACCCCUGUAGUC